RNAcentral lists this transfer RNA (67 nucleotides) under Bisnius sordidus. Its description in RNAcentral is "tRNA-Cys". Lineage: Eukaryota; Metazoa; Arthropoda; Insecta; Coleoptera; Staphylinidae. The record is from RNAcentral.
AGUCUUAUAGUCAAAAAUGAUUUUAAAUUGCAAAUUUGAAGGAGGGAUAAGUUUAACCCUAAGGCUU